Molecule: long non-coding RNA, 705 nt
Filed under: Sorghum bicolor (sorghum)
Lineage: Eukaryota; Viridiplantae; Streptophyta; Magnoliopsida; Poales; Poaceae
Description: long non-coding RNA (SBIC_LNC013375)
Source: RNAcentral
GCACAACAUAUAGCUAUUGCAGGCAGCUGCGGCAAUGCUUGUUAUUUAAUUCAGAAUCAUACAGUAGUUCGAUCUCAUGGCAACCAUGGGGGCAGGAAGGUGGUCAUGCAUGAGCUAGUCAGUGCCUCUGAAGGGUACCUGCAAACAAAUUGCACAAACGGAGGAAUCAGCUUUUAUUGACAACAGGAGGAAUCACAGCUUUAAUUUCAUUACAAAGAGCUACUCUAUGAUAAGAACUUGUCAUCAGUACUAGAUUUAACAAUUUACAGUGAUAGCGAUUUCUAUAUUCAGUGACAUGUCCUGUGAUUUUGUGGCAUUUGCAUUUUGCCAUCAAGAAAAUAACGGAACUAGGUGUCAUUUUCAUGAUCCUGUAUGUUAGUAGGACGAUUAAACGAGCAUACAGUAAAAUUAAUCUAGAUCAAAGAAAACGCCAUUUUAGUUUGAAGAUUGUUUCUAUAUGAUAAAAAAAACCUGGAUGUUCAUGCAUCUUUCCAAGCCCUGCUAGGGCAUCGAAAUAGUAUUGCACAAAAUUGGCAUCCUUAUUUCCCUUUGUUUAGAGUAGGGAGAGAUUCACCCAAAGCAUGAGGACCAUACCCUAUCUGAAGGGUGGGUUCACCAGCAGCAUCGAGGGGAUGGAAGAAGUUAUUGCCGUGUAGCUGCUGCGGCUGCACUUCAGGAUGCCGCUCGCCUUGUUGCUCCCAUGCA